CUGGGCCCCUGGCCAGUGCCCUGCUGGGUUCUCCCUUGCUUUCCUUGGCUGUAGGUCCAGAGGAGGAGGAAGCCCACCGCGGACCCCCUGCCGCACUGCCCGCUGUGCUCUGGACUUGAAGUUUCAGGCAAUGGCUGCAAGUCUCCUAUAAAAUGCGACAUGGACCGGCUUGCUCCAGCACAAGGUUUGCGGCUGGGCUUCGAGAGUGGCUGCCGUGCCGAGCCUGUAGCCUCCUAAGCAGAGUUCACUGAGCUUCUCCAACUGCGUCUGCAAAGCUCAGCCUGCAG
RNAcentral lists this long non-coding RNA (287 nucleotides) under Oryctolagus cuniculus (rabbit). Its description in RNAcentral is "lncRNA (ENSOCUG00000036632.1)". The record is from RNAcentral. Lineage: Eukaryota; Metazoa; Chordata; Mammalia; Lagomorpha; Leporidae.